CCUACGGGAGGCAGCAGUGGGGAAUAUUGGACAAUGGGGGAAACCCUGAUCCAGCGACGCCGCGUGAGUGAAGAAGUAUUUCGGUACGUAAAGCUCUAUCAGCAGGGAAGAAAAUGACGGUACCUGACUAAGAAGCCCCGGCUAACUACGGUCCAGCAGCCGCGGUAAGACGUAGGGGGCAAGCGUUAUCCGGAUUUACUGGGUGUAAAGGGAGCGUAGACGGCAGCGAGAGUCUGGAGGGAAAUGCCGGCGCCCAACCCCGGAACUGGUGUGGAAACUGUGAAGCUGGAGUGCAGGAGAGGUAAGUGGAAUUCCUGGUGUAGCGGUGAAAUGCUUAGAUAUCAGGAGGAACACCGACGGCGAAGGCGGCUUACUGGACUGUAACUGACGUUGAGGCUCGAAGGCGUGGGGAUCAAACAGGAUUAGAUACCCUAGUAGUC
This 440-nucleotide ribosomal RNA is filed under the name uncultured bacterium. RNAcentral describes it as "partial 16S ribosomal RNA". It matches the Rfam family "Bacterial small subunit ribosomal RNA", at positions 338 to 795 of the family's 1533-position model. The record is from RNAcentral.